AUUGAACGCUGGCGGCAUGCCUUACACAUGCAAGUCGAACGGCAGCACGGGAGCAAUCCUGGUGGCGAGUGGCGAACGGGUGAGUAAAGUAUCGGAACGUGCCCAGUCGUGGGGGAUAACGUAGCGAAAGUUACGCUAAUACCGCAUACGAUCUAUGGAUGAAAGCGGGGGAUCGCAAGACCUCGCGCGAUUGGAGCGGCCGGUAUCAGAUUAGGUAGUUGGUGGGGUAAAGGCUCACCAAGCCGACGAUCGGUAGCUGGUCUGAGAGGACGACCGGCCAAACAGGGACUGAGACACGGCCCAGACUCCUACGGGAGGCAGCAGUGGGGAAUUUUGGACAAUGGGCGAAAGCCUGAUCCAGCCGGGCCGCGUGAAGGAUGAAGGCCUUCGGGUUGUAAACUGCUUUUGUACGGAACGAAAAGGUUUGGCCUAAUAAGCUGAGCUCAUGACGGUACCGUAAGAAUAAGCACCGGCUAACUACGUGCCAGCCGCCGCGGUAA
Molecule: ribosomal RNA, 500 nt
Filed under: uncultured bacterium
Lineage: Bacteria
Description: partial 16S ribosomal RNA
Rfam family: Bacterial small subunit ribosomal RNA
Source: RNAcentral